AGGGAUUUGGUCUAGUGGUAUGAUUCUCGCUUUAGGUGCAAGAGGUCCCGACUUCGCUUCUCGGAAUGCAUC
Non-coding RNA from Marchantia paleacea, 72 nucleotides. The record is from the annotation of a GenBank genome assembly. Lineage: Eukaryota; Viridiplantae; Streptophyta; Marchantiopsida; Marchantiales; Marchantiaceae.